This 371-nucleotide ribosomal RNA is filed under the name uncultured organism. RNAcentral's name for it is "partial 16S ribosomal RNA". It matches the Rfam family "Bacterial small subunit ribosomal RNA", at positions 527 to 896 of the family's 1533-position model. The record is from RNAcentral.
GUACUGUGCAAACGUUAUUCGGAAUCACUGGGCUUAAAGGGUGCGUAGGCGGGCUAUUCAAGUCGGGAUGUGAAAUCUCUCGGCCUAACCGAGGAAUUGCGUUCGAAACUGAAUGGCUUGAGUGAGAUAGGGGUGUGCGGAACUUCCAGUGGAGCGGUGAAAUGUGUUGAUACUGGAAGGAACGCCGGUGGCGAAGGCGGCACACUGGGUCUCAACUGACGCUGAGGCACGAAAGCCAGGGUAGCGAACGGGAUUAGAUACCCCGGUAGUCCUGGCUGUAAACGAUGAGUACUAGACGGGAGGAAUUUCGGUUUCUCCGGUCGCAGCGAAAGCAAUAAGUACUCCGCCUGGGGAGUAUGGUCGCAAGGCUG